UGUUUUUGCAGGAAUGACAACACAUGGCUCAAAAGUAUCUCAGUUUACCACCAUUUUAAAUAUUUCACCAUUGGGACACAAGGGCUGAAGGAGGGGAAAUACUGGUUUGUUAGAAGCAUAACUCAGUCCUUUUCCAAUAUGCUCAAGUUUCUCUUGCGUGCUGGAGAUGUCUGAGCUCCCUAAGUUCUUGAUUCUGGUGGCCCCAGGAAAGUGGCAAUCCUUCGUUAAGAAAGUCCCAGACUACCUCUGGAUCCUGGACUCCCCACAGUGAUACUCGUCUCCACUUUGUAAACCUUGUACUGGGUUCUGGUGCAUUGGGAGGUCAAGGGGUGCAAUGGAUUCACCUGGAGAUGGGCUAUGCAGAAAUACUGAAGGAGCAGAGAUAAGCUGACCCACCUCUUAACAGUGUGUCAUAGUUGAAAUGUUAUUAGAGGAAGUCUUCAAAGAAUGAAUGUUUAUACGUUGCUAAAUGCAGCUUUGAACUUUUUUUUUUUUUUUUUUAAGACAGACAUUAUAGUCAAGUCUUCAUACUGUUUUCAUUAAAUUCAUUCUAGCUUUGAAAUGG
This 565-nucleotide long non-coding RNA is filed under the name Anser brachyrhynchus (Pink-footed goose). Its description in RNAcentral is "lncRNA (ENSABRG00000014004.1)". The record is from RNAcentral. Lineage: Eukaryota; Metazoa; Chordata; Aves; Anseriformes; Anatidae.